UACGGAGGGUGCAAGCGUUACCCGGAUUCACUGGGUUUAAAGGGUGCGUAGGAGGGCAGGUAAGUCAGUGGUGAAAUCCCCGAGCUUAACUUGGGAACUGCCGUUGAUACUAUCUGUCUUGAAUAUUGUGGAGGUGAGCGGAAUAUGUCAUGUAGCGGUGAAAUGCUUAGAUAUGACAUAGAACACCAAUUGCGAAGGCAGCUCGCUACACAUAUAUUGACUCUGAGGCACGAAAGCGUGGGGAUCAAACAGG
This 253-nucleotide ribosomal RNA is filed under the name uncultured bacterium. Its description in RNAcentral is "partial 16S ribosomal RNA". It matches the Rfam family "Bacterial small subunit ribosomal RNA", at positions 524 to 776 of the family's 1533-position model. The record is from RNAcentral.